Molecule: ribosomal RNA, 407 nt
Filed under: uncultured bacterium
Lineage: Bacteria
Description: bacterial SSU rRNA
Rfam family: Bacterial small subunit ribosomal RNA
Source: RNAcentral
GACGAACGCUGGCGGCGUGCUUAACACAUGCAAGUCGAGCGGUAAGGCCCUUUCGGGGGUACACGAGCGGCGAACGGGUGAGUAACACGUGGGUGACCUGCCCUCAGCUCUGGGAUAAGCCUGGGAAACCGGGUCUAAUACUGGAUAUGACUCCAUGACGCAUGUUGUGGGGUGGAAAGCCUUGUGCGGCUGAGGAUGGGCCCGCGGCCUAUCAGCUUGUUGGUGGGGUGANGGCCUACCAAGGCGACGACGGGUAGCCGGCCUGAGAGGGCGACCGGCCACACUGGGACUGAGACACGGCCCAGACUCCUACGGGAGGCAGCAGUGGGGAAUCUUGCGCAAUGGGCGAAAGCCUGACGCAGCGACGCCGCGUGAGGGAUGAAGGUCUUCGGAUUGUAAACCCCUUU